Non-coding RNA from Lyophyllum atratum, 76 nucleotides. NCBI's taxonomy places the organism in Eukaryota, Fungi, Basidiomycota, Agaricomycetes, Agaricales, Lyophyllaceae. The record is from the annotation of a GenBank genome assembly.
GACCGGAUAGCGUAUCGGCAACACAUCUGCCAGUACGGUAACGCAGACGAGCCCUGUUCGAUUCAGGGUCCGGUCA